AAGACGGGUGAGAAUCCCGUCCACCGAUUGACUAAGGUUUCCAGAGGAAGGCUCGUCCGCUCUGGGUUAGUCGGGUCCUAAGCUGAGGCCGACAGGCGUAGGCGAUGGAUAACAGGUUGAUAUUCCUGUACCACCUAGUAUCGUUUUAAUCGAUGGGGGGACGCAGUAGGAUAGGCGAAGCGUGCUGUUGGAGUGCACGUCCAAGCAGUAAGGCUGAGUGUUAGGCAAAUCCGGCACUCAUAAGGCUGAGCUGUGAUGGGGAGAGGAAAUUGUUUCCUCGAGUCGUUGAUUUCACACUGCCGAGAAAAGCCUCUAGAUAGAUAACAGGUGCCCGUACCGCAAACCGACACAGGUAGUCAAGAUGAGAAUUCUAAGGUGAGCGAGCGAACUCUCGUUAAGGAACUCGGCAAAAUGACCCCGUAACUUCGGGAGAAGGGGUGCUCUUUAGGGUUCACGCCCAGAAGAGCCGCAGUGAAUAGGCCCAAGCGACUGUUUAUCAAAAACACAGGUCUCUGCUAAACCGUAAGGUGAUGUAUAGGGGCUGACGCCUGCCCGGUGCUGGAAGGUUAAGAGGAGUGGUUAGCUUCUGCGAAGCUACGAAUCGAAGCCCCAGUAAACGGCGGCCGUAACUAUAACGGUCCUAAGGUAGCGAAAUUCCUUGUCGGGUAAGUUCCGACCCGCACGAAAGGCGUAACGAUUUGGGCACUGUCUCAACGAGAGACUCGGUGAAAUCAUAGUACCUGUGAAGAUGCAGGUUACCCGCGACAGGACGGAAAGACCCCGUGGAGCUUUACUGUAGCCUGAUAUUGAAAUUCGGCACAGCUUGUACAGGAUAGGUAGGAGCCUUUGAAACGUGAGCGCUAGCUUACGUGGAGGCGUUGGUGGGAUACUACCCUAGCUGUGUUGGCUUUCUAACCCGCACCACUUAUCGUGGUGGGAGACAGUGUCAGGCGGGCAGUUUGACUGGGGCGGUCGCCUCCUAAAAGGUAACGGAGGCGCUCAAAGGUUCCCUCAGAAUGGUUGGAAAUCAUUCAUAGAGUGUAAAGGCAUAAGGGAGCUUGACUGCGAGACCUACAAGUCGAGCAGGGUCGAAAGACGGACUUAGUGAUCCGGUGGUUCCGCAUGGAAGGGCCAUCGCUCAACGGAUAAAAGCUACCCCGGGGAUAACAGGCUUAUCUCCCCCAAGAGUUCACAUCGACGGGGAGGUUUGGCACCUCGAUGUCGGCUCAUCGCAUCCUGGGGCUGUAGUCGGUCCCAAGGGUUGGGCUGUUCGCCCAUUAAAGCGGUACGCGAGCUGGGUUCAGAACGUCGUGAGACAGUUCGGUCCCUAUCCGUCGUGGGCGUAGGAAAUUUGAGAGGAGCUGUCCUUAGUACGAGAGGACCGGGAUGGACAUACCUCUGGUGUACCAGUUGUCGUGCCAACGGCAUAGCUGGGUAGCUAUGUAUGGACGGGAUAAGUGCUGAAAGCAUCUAAGCAUGAAGCCCCCCUCAAGAUGAGAUUUCCCAACUUCGGUUAUAAGAUCCCUCGAAGAUGACGAGGUUAAUAGGUUCGAGGUGGAAGCGUGGUGACACGUGGAGCUGACGAAUACUAAUCGAUCGAAGACUUAAUCAAUUUUUUAAA
Molecule: ribosomal RNA, 1621 nt
Filed under: Staphylococcus epidermidis
Lineage: Bacteria; Bacillati; Bacillota; Bacilli; Caryophanales; Staphylococcaceae
Description: partial 23S ribosomal RNA
Rfam family: Bacterial large subunit ribosomal RNA
Source: RNAcentral